RNAcentral lists this ribosomal RNA (474 nucleotides) under uncultured bacterium. RNAcentral describes it as "bacterial SSU rRNA". It matches the Rfam family "Bacterial small subunit ribosomal RNA", at positions 335 to 799 of the family's 1533-position model. The record is from RNAcentral.
ACUCCUACGGGAGGCAGCAGUGGGGAAUAUUGCACAAUGGGCGCAAGCCUGAUGCAGCCAUGCCGCGUGUAUGAAGAAGGCCUUCGGGUUGUAAAGUACUUUCAGCAGUGAGGAAGGCGGGUACGUUAAUAGCGUGCUUGUUUGACGUUAGCUGCAGAAGAAGCACCGGCUAACUCCGUGCCAGCAGCCGCGGUAAUACGGAGGGUGCGAGCGUUAAUCGGAAUUACUGGGCGUAAAGCGCAUGCAGGUGGUUUGUUAAGUCAGAUGUGAAAGCCCGGGGCUCAACCUCGGAAUUGCAUUUGAAACUGGCAGACUAGAGUACUGUAGAGGGGGGUAGAAUUUCAGGUGUAGCGGUGAAAUGCGUAGAGAUCUGAAGGAAUACCGGUGGCGAAGGCGGCCCCCCUGGACAGAUACUGACACUCAGAUGCGAAAGCGUGGGGAGCAAACAGGAUUAGAUACCCUGGUAGGAUAGCG